RNAcentral lists this ribosomal RNA (253 nucleotides) under uncultured bacterium. Its description in RNAcentral is "partial 16S ribosomal RNA". It matches the Rfam family "Bacterial small subunit ribosomal RNA", at positions 524 to 776 of the family's 1533-position model. The record is from RNAcentral.
UACGUAGGGGGCAAGCGUUAUCCGGAUUUACUGGGUGUAAAGGGAGCGUAGACGGUGAUAUAAGUCAGAUGUGAAAGCCCGGGGCUCAACCCCGGGACUGCAUUUGAAACUAUGUCACUAGAGUGCAGGAGAGGUAAGUGGAAUUCCUAGUGUAGCGGUGAAAUGCGUAGAUAUUAGGAGGAACACCAGUGGCGAAGGCGGCUUACUGGACUGUAACUGACGUUGAGGCUCGAAAGCGUGGGGAGCAAACAGG